AAGAUCUACUCUGCUCGCGCUAUAUAAAUCCCGGGAAAUAAAGGCACGGGCAUUAGUCUUCCGCAGAAAGACAGCUCACAGAAAACCGCAACAAUGUUCAAGCUGGUUCUCCUCGUCCUGGCGCUGAUCGCAGUGGCCGCGGCCCAGUAUCCGUACUACGCCGGAUACUAUGGCAACGGAUACUACGGCACAUAUGCCAGUCCGUAUGCCUACUCCGGUCUUGGCUACGGCUUCUACGGCCGUUAAGCGGUGAAUGUGACUACAGCUGAACGAACGUAACAGCUCAUGAAGGUUGGGUCGAGACUGCUCCGUCUGCCUUCAUAAGGUUCCAUUUCUCAGAAGUUGGCAUGUACCUCUUUAAAUUAAUAAACCUUUCGAAUUUGCUUUAAAA
Cryptotermes secundus is the source of this 391-nucleotide long non-coding RNA. RefSeq lists it as uncharacterized. NCBI's taxonomy places the organism in Eukaryota, Metazoa, Arthropoda, Insecta, Blattodea, Kalotermitidae. The transcript has 3 exons. The record is from RefSeq and is a predicted model, not a curated record.